Molecule: small nuclear RNA, 108 nt
Organism: Myotis daubentonii (Daubenton's bat)
Lineage: Eukaryota; Metazoa; Chordata; Mammalia; Chiroptera; Vespertilionidae
Source: RefSeq, a predicted model, not a curated record
GUGCUCGCUUUGGCAGCACAUAUACUAAAAAUUGGAACGAUACAGAGAAGAUUAGCAUGGCGCCUGCACAAGGAUGACACGCAAAUUCGUGAAGCAUUCUAUAUAUAA